GAUGAACGCUGGCGGCGUGCCUAAUACAUGCAAGUCGAGCGAACAGAUGAGGAGCUUGCUCCUCUGACGUUAGCGGCGGACGGGUGAGUAACACGUGGAUAACCUACCUAUAAGACUGGGAUAACUUCGGGAAACCGGAGCUAAUACCGGAUAAUAUAUUGAACCGCAUGGUUCAAUAGUGAAAGACGGUUUUGCUGUCACUUAUAGAUGGAUCCGCGCCGCAUUAGCUAGUUGGUAAGGUAACGGCUUACCAAGGCAACGAUGCGUAGCCGACCUGAGAGGGGGAUCGGCCACACUGGGACUGAGACACGGUCCAGACGCCUACGGGAGGCAGCAGUAGGGAAUCUUCCGCAAUGGGCGAAAGCCUGACGGAGCAACGCCGCGUGAGUGAUGAAGGUCUUCGGAUCGUAAAACUCUGUUAUUAGGGAAGAACAAAUGUGUAAGUAACUAUGCACGUCUUGACGGUACCUAAUCAGAAAGCCACGGCUAACUACGUG
Molecule: ribosomal RNA, 497 nt
Filed under: uncultured bacterium
Lineage: Bacteria
Description: partial 16S ribosomal RNA
Rfam family: Bacterial small subunit ribosomal RNA
Source: RNAcentral